This is a long non-coding RNA of Rhinolophus ferrumequinum (greater horseshoe bat), 901 nucleotides long. RefSeq lists it as uncharacterized. The record is from RefSeq and is a predicted model, not a curated record. The transcript is spliced from 3 exons. Lineage: Eukaryota; Metazoa; Chordata; Mammalia; Chiroptera; Rhinolophidae.
UUUUUCAGGAAUGCGAGACACACUGAAGAUAUUUUACCCAGUGACUAUGAAAGACUUUUGGGUCAAUUUCCUGCCAAAAGACACGUUGAGUCCUUUAUUGGAAAACGAGAUAGCGAUGACGUCUCAGGGGACAGUGGUCCGAACGAAUCUCAGUUAGAUGACCAAGAAGCACUCCUUGAAAAGCAAGAUGCUCUGAGAGAAUACCUCCAGUACCUUCGUGAUGAAAGAGUUUUCGAAGAAAAAUGAUUAGGUGAAGUAAUUAUACUUUGAUUUCUACUUAACUAAUUCAAGAAACAUCUUCAAUAUCAAAACCAAAUAAAAUACUGUGCUGGUCAUGUUGUGACUUAUUUUAUUCCAACAUAAUAACUGUUGCUUACAUUGCGAAUAUUAUUUAAGAGUUCUUAAAAUUGUCUUUAAAUCAUGAAAAUCCUGGAAUUCCAGAGGCUGCAUAUCUUUUCUAACAAAGAUAUAUUUAAUGACAAGUAAACACCAGGUUCAUUCCAAUUGUACGACGCUUUAUGGAAGGGUAGUAAUAGAGCAAAACUGAUGUGUUUAUUUAUGGAGCACACUUAACUAUUUAGAAGAACGGAGCAGAUAAUCAGUGUCUCCAAAUUUCAAUGUUAAGCAGAUGGAAUGCUGUGUUAAAUGAACCUCAAAUUGUCUAAGAGAAUACCUACAAAAUAAAUUUUUUUUUUCAAAAAGAUUUUCAAAAAAUGUUUUGCAUCCCCACAUCCGAAGGCAAAGUUUAUUUUGAAUGAGAGUAAUGGCCUCUGAAAUUUGGAUCUCUAAUUGCCAAAGGCUCUCUUCUGAUUUAAUGCCUCAGUGAAGGAGAAUGGCCUGUGCUUCUGACACUGGACCUUUUUUUUAUGCUCCUAUUAAGUAUGUGUAGUAUGUAAACUGA